Molecule: ribosomal RNA, 253 nt
Filed under: uncultured bacterium
Lineage: Bacteria
Description: partial 16S ribosomal RNA
Rfam family: Bacterial small subunit ribosomal RNA
Source: RNAcentral
UACGUAGGGGGCAAGCGUUGUCCGGAAUCAUUGGGCGUAAAGCGCGUGUAGGCGGUUCGGUAAGUCUGCUGUGAAAGUCCAGGGCUCAACCCUGGGAUGCCGGUGGAUACUGUCGGACUAGAGUACGGAAGAGGCGAGUGGAAUUCCCGGUGUAGCGGUGAAAUGCGCAGAUAUCGGGAGGAACACCAGUGGCGAAGGCGGGUCUCUGGGCCGAUACUGACGCUGAGGAGCGAAAGCGUGGGGAGCGAACAGG